GAUGAACGCUGGCGGCGUGCCUAAUACAUGCAAGUCGAGCGAACAGACGAGGAGCUUGCUCCUCUGACGUUAGCGUCGGACGGGUGAGUAACACGUGGUUAACCUACCUAUAAGACUGGGAUAACUUCGGGAAACCGGAGCUAAUACCGGAUAAUAUAUUGAACCGCAUGGUUCAAUAGUGAAAGACGGUUUUGCUGUCACUUAUAGAUGGAUCCGCGCCGCAUUAGCUAGUUGGUAAGGUAACGGCUUACCAAGGCGACGAUGCGUAGCCGACCUGAGAGGGUGAUCGGCCACACUGGAACUGAGACACGGUCCAGACUCCUACGGGAGGCAGCAGUAGGGAAUCUUCCGCAAUGGGCGAAAGCCUGACGGAGCAACGCCGCGUGAGUGAUGAAGGUCUUCGGAUCGUAAAACUCUGUUAUUAGGGAAGAACAAAUGUGUAAGUAACUAUGCACGUCUUGACGGUACCUAAUCAGAAAGCCACGGCUAACUACGUG
This 497-nucleotide ribosomal RNA is filed under the name uncultured bacterium. RNAcentral's name for it is "partial 16S ribosomal RNA". It matches the Rfam family "Bacterial small subunit ribosomal RNA", at positions 28 to 507 of the family's 1533-position model. The record is from RNAcentral.